UACAGAGGGUGCGAGCGUUGUUCGGAAUUAUUGGGCGUAAAGGGCGCGUAGGCGGUUCGUACAGUCAGACGUGAAAUUCCUGAGCUCAACCUGGGGGCUGCGUUUGAUACGUGCGGACUUGAGUGCGGAAGAGGGUCGUGGAAUUCCCAGUGUAGAGGUGAAAUUCGUAGAUAUCUGGAAGAACACCAAAGGCGAAGGCAGUGUCCUGGGUGGUCGCUGACGCUGAGAGGCGAAAGCCAGGGGAGCGAACGGG
This 253-nucleotide ribosomal RNA is filed under the name uncultured bacterium. Its description in RNAcentral is "partial 16S ribosomal RNA". It matches the Rfam family "Bacterial small subunit ribosomal RNA", at positions 524 to 776 of the family's 1533-position model. The record is from RNAcentral.